GCGGGUCUAGCUCAGUCGGCAGAGCGCAAGCUUCCCAAGCUUGAGGUCGCGGGUUCGAUCCCCGUGACCCGCUCCA
Molecule: transfer RNA, 76 nt
Filed under: Actinomycetes bacterium
Lineage: Bacteria; Bacillati; Actinomycetota; Actinomycetes
Description: Actinobacteria bacterium tRNA-Gly
Rfam family: tRNA
About the family: Transfer RNA (tRNA) molecules are approximately 80 nucleotides in length. Their secondary structure includes four short double-helical elements and three loops (D, anti-codon, and T loops).
Source: RNAcentral